Long non-coding RNA from Drosophila arizonae, 226 nucleotides. The record is from RefSeq and is a predicted model, not a curated record. Lineage: Eukaryota; Metazoa; Arthropoda; Insecta; Diptera; Drosophilidae.
GCAGCUGCCACUUCGCAUUCUUUGUAAAAUAUCCCAUUUCUGCCAUUUGCCACAAUUUCAACGGCAAAUGAGAUUUCUGGAAUCUUUUCUGUGGCCGGUUUAAGAGCCGUCCAGAUCCCAAUUAAAUAAACAUUUUGUUCAGAGAAUAUUUUUUGCGCCGCAAUCCCGAUUAUUUAAAAUUCGUCUCACGUACAUAUAAGCUGAACGUUCGCAUGGCAAAAAUAAA